UUUUUAAUGAAAAUAUUUAAACAGCAAAUUGUUAGCAAAAACAAAAAAGAAUAGAUUUUGGGCGAUUACAGUCUAUCACCAAUAGAGGACGCCCUACACCAUGACAACACUGACAUGGAGCCUUUCUAACUUGAAUUGCAACAGAGAGUCAAAGAAACUCUUUAAAACUUUGCAUAUGGUUUUGUCACAUUCACAGUGUAAUGUAAUUAAUGUAUAGAAUACUAGUAUUCUCUCACUUUAUUAUAUUAUCAUGACUGGUGGCAGUAUCCUCACAGCACGUUUAGGGAAGUGAGAUGGGUGGCUCCCUCACCACUUCCUCUGAAGAGCACAAAAUGUUUCUGUCUGGUCUCAAGAAGGGGUUAUGGGUUUGAGCUUGAAAGGUCUUAAGGUCACACAAAAACACCCUAUAGACUGAAACUGAAAGUUGAACCGAUUAAUCCUGUGACGUGCAUGAGCUGUACUAAUUAACCUCAUAGAAAAACUCAUAGGGUGAAGAGUUAACUUAAUCUGACAUACUGACUUCAGGAAAAACAAAUCCACCAUGGAAGCAUGCUUACUUGCAAAAAAUGCACAUGCAAAAAUGAAAAACAAAGAAAAGGGAAACAUGCAAAACACGCUUGCAGGAUUUAAUCAUUAAAGUGGAAUGCAGCAAAACCUGCUUUCAUGUUUUGGCUGAACUUGCAACUGGCCCCUGAACAGUCUGUUACCAUGACGACAAAGAUUACCUCCGGGCAACCGUUGACAGUUGAUAGGUGUCCUGUUAAAAAAACAACAGAAUUGUUCACAGACUCAAUAAUCAUUAGGCUACUCACACACACAAGGUGUGAGCGGUUGCUGGCAACUCAGCUUUUGCACAAUUUCCAUGAUCACAAGCUGAUCUCUUGCAUGCACGCCGACUCAAGGAAGAGAGUUUCGGAAAGUACAUGAUGUCUUGUCUCGAAAGAGAAAGCAUAAAGUCUGAGUUCUGACAGUACUAGUGCACACGGUGACAGACCACUGCUGGAGUUUUGUACUAGAACAGAUAUGUGUAUCCCAAUGUUCCUAUUGGACGGUGCUGGUCAUGUGACAGUCCAUUCAUUUCAUUAGCCUACUUGUGACAGUCAGUGCAAGGAUCUCAGGACCCUCGAACGUCUGGAACAUCUGGACUAGCUUGUGUUUUGCUAGACUGUUGUGAUGUUGUGUAUUAACUAAAAUAUCUAUCUAUCUAUCUAUCUAUCUAUCUAUCUAUCUAUCUAUCUAUCUAUCUAUCUAUCUAUCUAUCUAUCUAUCUAUCUAUCUAUCUAUCUAUCUAUCUAUCUAUCUAUCUAUAAUCAUUUUAAAAAUAUUUCCUAGUAUGGCUGUGUUCCACCAGUCAUUUGAAGCACACUACUACGUUUUAUGUAGCCUAAAACAGUUUUAUAGAGUGUUGUAGUGCACUGCUUUGUAAGGCAUCUGUGGGGGAGCUAUGACUGGCUCAUUCUGAACAAAAGCAGAUGAGGAACUACUGUGAUGCUGCUGAGGCUGGAGCUAUCUAGUUCAGACCGGCGGCUGGGUGCUGCCUUCAGCACUGAAGGGCUCUUUGAAGGUGUGAAGCUCCUCCCCCUAUCCCACUUGGCUCUGUGCACUUAACGCCUGCCCGCUGCUUCACAGCAGAACAAGAUGUUCUCUCGAUUACUCCUGCUGCAAAAAAGGAACAACCGCUUUCACUUUCUGUUGCUGCUGAGGUACAUAAAAUCAGAGAUGGCCAAAGAAGAUUAUCACCCGCUCUGACAUCCAAUCCACAACCAGCAGCUGCCCUCACGGCCUCAUGAUUCAGUGCAGAACACUCUUGAUUGAACCAAGUCAGGCAUUUAAGAAAUCUACAGGUAGCAGCCCUCAAUCGUCAGUAAAAUAAGUGUGUGUGAUGUCUCUUUAAUGGGAGCUUUCACCACAUGCUCAGACAAAAACCACAUUAAAGGCAACACGGUGCAUUAGUAAAUGGUGUCUUGAAUGAAAUAGAUCACCCAAAAAUGAAAACUGCAUGACAAUGUGCUCACCCACAGACUAUACAGGAUAUGGAUGAGUUUGUUUCUUCAUCAGAACAGAUUUGGAGAAAUGUAGCAUUCCAUCACUUGCUCACCAAUGGAUCCUCUGCAGUGAAUGGGUGCCGUCAGAAUGAGAGUCCAAACAGCUGAUAAAAACGUCACAAUAGUCCACAAGUAAUCCACACCACACUACUCCAGUCCAUCAAUUAAUGUCUUUAAACUGAUCAGUAAAUUUUAAAUAUGGCUCCAUCAUUUUUACCAAAUAUUUGCAAGAAAAACAGGACUGAAAAUGUCUGCUCAACAAAUGAACCUAACGGCCUCAUAGAUGAUAAGCUCUGUCUAAAUAGGAGUCACUGAAUGUGAAACUGUAACUACACUUUACUAUUGAUUUCUCACAGCGGAUCGAUUUCUUACAGACAAUUUACUGAAGCUAAAACUCUCUCUUGAGAGAAGCACAUAAAUAAACAUUCGCACUAAUGAAACUGCACUUUCUCCAGUCUUUCAUUUGUUUAAACUUUCCAUGUAGGCAGCAUUUUCACAGGCAGUUCCUUCCUUGUUCCACCAUUUGAAGAUCAUUGUCUGUAAAGAGUGUGACUGGCGCCUCUGUUUGCAUGCAGCACUGUUUGAAUGAGGCUGCACUUUGAUAUUUUGAAAUGAUGUCUCCUGCUCAGAGAAGAGCAUAAGGAGCUGUAGGCCUCAAUCAUAUAUCUAAGACACAAAGUUUGUUCUUGUGAAAUGUGC
Carassius gibelio (silver crucian carp) is the source of this 2744-nucleotide long non-coding RNA. RefSeq lists it as uncharacterized. The record is from RefSeq and is a predicted model, not a curated record. The transcript is spliced from 3 exons. NCBI's taxonomy places the organism in Eukaryota, Metazoa, Chordata, Actinopteri, Cypriniformes, Cyprinidae.